This is a long non-coding RNA of Gordionus sp. m RMFG-2023, 772 nucleotides long. RefSeq lists it as uncharacterized. The record is from RefSeq and is a predicted model, not a curated record. The transcript has 5 exons. Lineage: Eukaryota; Metazoa; Nematomorpha; Gordioida; Chordodea; Parachordodidae.
AUAUAUGACUUCCUAAAUAGAAAAUCAAUUAUUCUAUGGGGAAACCAUUAUAAGUUUAAUGCAAUAUAUUAUUUUUUAACAUUGAAAAAUGCCCAGGCCAUUGAUUAUUAUCUUUUUUUCAUCUAAAAUUAAUUAUAGCUGCAAAUAAGAAAGAAAAGUUAUACUGACAGGAGAUGAACAAAAAAAAAUAAUUAAAACAAUACAUGAGGGGGGUGUAUCUACAGUUGCAGGUAUUGCUAUGGGAGGGCAUCUGGGGAUUAAAACUAAUCAAAUAAUAGCUAAAAAAUUGGAUGAUGAUAUUUUGAUAAUAAAUAAAUUAGAAAAUAUCCCUAGAUAUUUUUUUCCUACAACAAAGGUAUGGAAAAAAUAUCAUGCUAAAAUAUAUGGUCUAAAGCCUCCCAAACAUUGUCGGGAUGUAGAAUGUAGACUAUGGGAAACAACUUGGUGAACCCACCAUCCUGGUGCAAAUUGAAGGUGAUGGGAAUUGUUUUUAUAGGGCGAUUAGUGUAGAGCUUACUGGAGCUCAAAAUUCCCAUGUUAUUCUCAGGCAAUGGUUGUCACAAUUUACGCUAACAUCCGAGAUGGGAAAGGUAAUUAAAAAUUAUCUUUACGACACGAACAAAAAAAUAGACAUAAAAACUUAUGUCUUAAAUAAUGUAAUGAAACAGCAGAUAUGGGCUUCUGACACAGAAGUCAGGGGGAUGGCCACAAUGUUAAAUACGGCUAUUUUUACUUAUAUAAAAUAUAAUGAUAAUUUUGUAUGGGCCCGAUA